GGGAGAUCGGCGCGGGCGAAGUCCUCGCGAACCCGGUCAGGUCCGGAAGGAAGCAGCCGCAACGAGUUUUGCUUCGGGUCGC
This 82-nucleotide signal recognition particle RNA is filed under the name Magnetovibrio sp. RNAcentral describes it as "partial signal recognition particle sRNA small type". It matches the Rfam family "Bacterial small signal recognition particle RNA", at positions 1 to 81 of the family's 97-position model. From Rfam's summary of the family: The signal recognition particle (SRP) is a universally conserved ribonucleoprotein involved in the co-translational targeting of proteins to membranes. Archaeal SRP consists of a 7S RNA and homologues of the eukaryotic SRP19 and SRP54 proteins. The record is from RNAcentral. Lineage: Bacteria; Pseudomonadati; Pseudomonadota; Alphaproteobacteria; Rhodospirillales; Magnetovibrionaceae.